This 497-nucleotide ribosomal RNA is filed under the name uncultured bacterium. RNAcentral describes it as "partial 16S ribosomal RNA". It matches the Rfam family "Bacterial small subunit ribosomal RNA", at positions 28 to 507 of the family's 1533-position model. The record is from RNAcentral.
GAUGAACGCUGGCGGCGUGCCUAAUACAUGCAAGUCGAGCGAACGGACGAGAAGCUUGCUUCUCUGAUGUUAGCGGCGGACGGGUGAGUAACACGUGGAUAACCUACCUAUAAGACUGGGAUAACUUCGGGAAACCGGAGCUAAUACCGGAUAAUAUUUUGAACCGCAUGGUUCAAAAGUGAAAGACGGUCUUGCUGUCACUUAUAGAUGGAUCCGCGCUGCAUUAGCUAGUUGGUAAGGUAACGGCUUACCAAGGCAACGAUGCAUAGCCGACCUGACAGGGUGAUCGGCCACACUGGAACUGAGACACGGUCCAGACUCCUACGGGAGGCAGCAGUAGGGAAUCUUCCGCAAAGGGCGAAAGCCUGACGGAGCAACGCCGCGUGAGUGAUGAAGGUCUUCGGAUCGUAAAACUCUGUUAUUAGGGAAGAACAUAUGUGUAAGUAACUGUGCACAUCUUGACGGUACCUAAUCAGAAAGCCACGGCUAACUACGUG